AGUGAACGCUGGCGGUAGGCCUAACACAUGCAAGUCGAACGGCAGCACAGUAAGAGCUUGCUCUUACGGGUGGCGAGUGGCGGACGGGUGAGGAAUACAUCGGAAUCUACUUUUUCGUGGGGGAUAACGUAGGGAAACUUACGCUAAUACCGCAUACGACCUACGGGUGAAAGCAGGGGAUCUUCGGACCUUGCGCGAUUGAAUGAGCCGAUGUCGGAUUAGCUAGUUGGCGGGGUAAAGGCCCACCAAGGCGACGAUCCGUAGCUGGUCUGGGAGGAUGAUCAGCCACACUGGAACUGAGACACGGUCCAGACUCCUACGGGAGGCAGCAGUGGGGAAUAUUGGACAAUGGGCGCAAGCCUGAUCCAGCCAUACCACGUGGGUGAAGAAGGCCUUCGGGUUGUAAAGCCCUUUUGUUGGGAAAGAAAAGCAGCAGGUUAAUACCCCGCUGUUCUGACGGUACCCAAAGAAUAAGCACCGGCUAACUUCGUG
Molecule: ribosomal RNA, 492 nt
Filed under: uncultured bacterium
Lineage: Bacteria
Description: partial 16S ribosomal RNA
Rfam family: Bacterial small subunit ribosomal RNA
Source: RNAcentral